This 253-nucleotide ribosomal RNA is filed under the name uncultured bacterium. Its description in RNAcentral is "partial 16S ribosomal RNA". It matches the Rfam family "Bacterial small subunit ribosomal RNA", at positions 524 to 776 of the family's 1533-position model. The record is from RNAcentral.
UACAGAGGUCCCAAGCGUUGUUCGGAUUCAUUGGGCGUAAAGGGUGCGUAGGCGGCGCGGGAAGUCGGGUGUGAAAUCUCGGAGCUUAACUCCGAAACUGCAUUCGAUACUGCCGUGCUUGAGGACUGGAGAGGAGACUGGAAUUUACGGUGUAGCGGUGAAAUGCGUAGAGAUUGGGAAGAACAUCGGUGGCGAAAGCGCUCUACUGGACCUCAUCUGACACUCAGGGACGAAAGCUAGGGGAGCGAAUGGG